Molecule: long non-coding RNA, 649 nt
Organism: Pogoniulus pusillus (Red-fronted tinkerbird)
Lineage: Eukaryota; Metazoa; Chordata; Aves; Piciformes; Lybiidae
Exons: 2
Source: RefSeq, a predicted model, not a curated record
GCUGCGGCAGCGGCAGAGCAGAGAUCUGCGCCGCAGGCUCUGAGCUCCCCAGGCCGGCAGGAGCCUGCCGGGGCCGGCGCUCGGCACCGUCCUGUGCGCGGAGCUCUGCCUCGGCCUCCGCUCUGCGCCCCCCGCGUGUGCCAGAGCUCUGCAGCAGGUCUGUUUUAUCCCAGCGCUGGCUGCAGGCAGGAUGACUCCAUCCAUCCUGCACACCCCGCGCUGGCACAAGGCACAGUUUACGUCACUGGAGCAGGCAUAUUCAUCACAGGAGGUAGGGUUAUUACAGUUGUUGCCUUCUGUGGCGUGGCAACCUGGUUCAGGCAUGGUGACCAAUCCCAGGCCGCUGGGACCAUCAGCUCACAGACACCGUGGUGGACGGCAAAUGGCGUUUAUUGAUGGCUGGUGCGGGAUUAUGUAGCGUGGGUUACAACGUCACCCCCGUCUGCUUACAUCAUAAGCUAGGCACUAUUGGCUAUAGGGAGAGGGUCCCUGCCUUUCCGUACAGCGCGAUAUCUUCCGGCCGCCUGACCCUAGCUGCCUGCAUUUCCCCCCUCCCUAUGCAUAAUUGAAUUGGCUGAAAUAUAACAGUCUCAAAGAAGAUACAGAUCGUAAUCUCGAAUAAAACCACACUAAAUGCACAACCAAUCCA